UUUUUUGUUACAAAGACAUAUUUUGCUAAAAAAGAAAUGUAUCAAGGACCUAUUUUUGCAUAACUAACAAUUUAGGGCUAACUCUAAAACAAAUUGUUCAUAAAAAACCCUCAAUUUAGGCCUAUCGUAACAAAACCCUCACACCGUCACACUCGCGUAUUCUUAACCCACCACUCUCACACAUCACCGUCGCAUCUCAAAUCACCACCGUCACACCUCGCCACCGCAUCUCAACCAUAGUCAUCGUAGCCUCGUCGCUUCUCAUCUAUCGCGCGCGCAUCAUCCUCCCGCUCUUCGUUUGUAAGUUUUCCUUUGAUUUCGUUUGUUCAACACAUAGAUUUAUUUUUCAAGUUGCUACUUGCACUCAGAUUUCGUUUGAUUUGCCUGUACUUAUCACAUAUUUCGUUUCUUCUUACGAAUUAUUUACUUUCAGUUUGCUUGCAUCUACUUUUUGUGCUGAUAAAAGUUCCCUACGCUUGUCACAUAUUUCGUUUUACUUAUGUUUGAUUUGCAUCUACUUAGUGUGUGCUGUUCAUUUCAGAUUCUCAUAUUAGUUUUUUCUUCUUCUUUUUUUUUAAUUAUGAUUUGUAUGAGCUUGCAAUAUAGAAGUUAAUACCAGUGCUGAAAAGUGUGUUAAUGAUUGUCAAUAAUUGGAAACUCCAUCACCAUUUGUUCAAGUGACUUGUAUUUAACUUUCUAAAUCUUAGUUUUUAUUUUAUUUAAUAUUGAUAAAUUCUCGUUGAUGUGAAUAGAAUUUGACAGUAGUUGGUCGUAAGGGAAUGGCUGAACUUUGGCUAGAUUAGCAGUAGUAUUCUUUUGAUUGUAAUAACAAACUUGUUUUAGUGACUACAUGUUUGAUUUCACGGUGGGAUUGGUAAAAUCAUGGUGAGCCGCUGUUAUUUU
RNAcentral lists this long non-coding RNA (903 nucleotides) under Cicer arietinum (chickpea). RNAcentral's name for it is "long non-coding RNA (CARI_LNC002626)". The record is from RNAcentral. Lineage: Eukaryota; Viridiplantae; Streptophyta; Magnoliopsida; Fabales; Fabaceae.